AACAAAAAGAAAGGGCGUACGGAGGAUGCCUUGGCUCUUGCAGGCGAAGAAGGACGUGAUAAGCUGCGAAAAGCCGCGUGUAGGUGCAAAUGACCUGUGAUGCGCGGAUCUCCGAAUGGGACAACCCGCCGUCUUGAAGGGACGGCAUUCCGCUCAAUGCGGAAGGCGAACGCAGGGAACUGAAACAUCUUAGUACCUGCAGGAAGAGAAAAUAACAAUGAUUCCCCUAGUAGUGGCGAGCGAACGGGGAAGAGCCCAAACCAUGCAUGUCGCAAGGCAUGUGUGGGGUAGUAAGGCCGCCAGAAGCCAUGUACGAGGUGAGCAGAACGGACUGGAAAGUCCGGCCGCAGCGGGUGAAAGCCCCUUAUGCGAAGCCUGUGUGCAUGCAGGGCGAGACCUUGAGUAGCGCGGGACACGUGGAAUCCUGUGUGAAUCAUCCGGGACCAUCCGGAAAGGCUAAAUACUCGCAAGAGACCGAUAGUGAACCAGUACCGUGAGGGAAAGGUGAAAAGUACCUCGAGCAGAGGAGUGAAAUAGAACCUGAAACCGUACGCCUACAAGCGGUCGGAGCUGUUUUAUAACAGUGACGGCGUGCCUUUUGCAUAAUGAACCUACGAGUUGCCGUCGUUGGCAAGGUUAAGGCCCGAGAGUGCCGCAGCCGAAGCGAAAGCGAGUCUGAAUAGGGCGUAAAGUCAGCGGAGGCAGACGCGAAACCAAGUGAUCUACCCUUGUCCAGGAUGAAGUCUGGGUAACACCAGAUGGAGGUCCGAACCAAUAAGCGUUGAAAAGCUUCUGGAUGAGGUAAGGGUAGGAGUGAAAGGCCAAUCAAACUUGGAGAUAGCUCGUACUCCCCGAAAAGCAUUUAGGUGCUGCCUUCAGUGAUGAUUGCCGGAGGUAGAGCGACUGAUAGGAUGCGAGGGCUUCACCGCCUAUCAAGUCCUGAUAAACUCCGAAUGCCGGUAAUUUAGCUGUGGAGAAAGGGCGAGGGUGCUAAGGUCCUCGCCCGAGAGGAGAAGAAUCCGGACCGCCGGCUAAGGCCCCGUAGUGCAUGUUAAGUUAGUCUAACGAAGUACGGCCCCCGUGACAGCUAGGAUGUUGGCUUGGAAGCAGCCAUUCAUUCAAAGAGUGCGUAACAGCUCACUAGUCGAGGGUCUGUGCGUGGAUAAUAAUCGGGUAUUAAACAUGCCGCCGAAGCCGCGGGAUUGCACUUUUUAAUGGUGUAAUCGGUAGGGGAGCAUUCCAUGUGCGUUGAAUGGAUUCCGUAAGGGGUUCUGGAGCGUAUGGAAAAGCAAAUGUAGGUAUAAGUAACGAUAAAGAGGGUGAGAUGCCCUCUCGCCGAAAGACUAAGGUUUCCUGGGCGACGUUAAUCGUCCCAGGGUCAGUCGGGUCCUAAGGAUAAGCCUAAUGGCGAGGCCGAACGGAUGAAACGGUUAAUAUUCCGUUACUAUCUGCGUCGAGCGACGCGGUGACGGGGCGGUGACACUUCCGCGCCCUUACGAAUCAGGGCGUUGAACGGCAAAGGUGUAGAUUGCGGUAGUGAAGUACGCCGCGAGAGCCGAAGCCGGAAAGUACGCGAGUCCUCCGGGAUGAGCGAUAGUGAAGGUAAUAGCCUCCGAGAAAACCCGCUAAGCAUUAUGAUGGUGCAGGUACCCGUACCGUAAACGGACACACGUAGUUGGGUAGAAAAUACUAAGGCGCUAGGGAGAUUCACGGUUAAGGAACUAGGCAAAAUAGCCCUGUAACUUCGGGAGAAAGGGUCCUGCUUUUAUAGCGAGGCGCAGUGAAAAGGUCCAGGCAACUGUUUACCAAAAACACAGGGCUGUGCGAAGUGUAAUUACUCAGUAUACAGCCUGACACCUGCCCGGUGCCGGAAGGUUAAGAGGAGGGCUUAUCAGCAAUGAGAAGGUCUGAAUUGAAGCCCCGGUAAACGGCGGCCGUAACUAUAACGGUCCUAAGGUAGCGAAAUUCCUUGUCGGGUAAGUUCCGACCUGCACGAAUGGUGUAAUGAUCCGGACACUGUCUCAACCGUGAUCCCUGUGAAAUUGAAGUAUCGGUGAAGAUGCCGAUUACCCGCGAUGGGACGAAAAGACCCCGUGAACCUUUACUAUAGCUUAGCGUUGGAACUGGGCAAUUGAUGUGUAGGAUAGGCCGGAGGCAAUGAAGCGUGCGCGCCAGCGUAUGUGGAGCCGCCGUUGAAAUACGGCCCUUUGGCUGUUUGAGUUCUAACUUGCAAGAAUGCAAGGACCGCGCUUGGUGGGUAGUUUGACUGGGGUGGUCGCCUCCAAAAGCGUAACGGAGGCUUCUAAAGGUACCCUCAGGCCGAUUGGUAACCGGCCAUGGAGUGUAAUGGCAAAAGGGUGCUUGACUGGGAGGCGGACGUGCCGAGCAGGUAGGAAACUAGAGCAUAGUGAUCCGGUGGUUCCGCAU
Molecule: ribosomal RNA, 2427 nt
Filed under: human gut metagenome
Description: bacterial LSU rRNA
Rfam family: Bacterial large subunit ribosomal RNA
Source: RNAcentral